RNAcentral lists this ribosomal RNA (314 nucleotides) under uncultured eukaryote. RNAcentral's name for it is "partial 18S ribosomal RNA". It matches the Rfam family "Eukaryotic small subunit ribosomal RNA", at positions 1470 to 1796 of the family's 1831-position model. The record is from RNAcentral.
CCCUUAGAUGUUCUGGGCCGCACGCGCGCUACACUGAACAGUUCAACAAGUCUUAACCUUGGCCGACAGGCUCGGGCAAUCUUUGAACGCUGGUCGUGAUGGGGAUAGACUUUUGCAAUUUUUGGUCUUCAACGAGGAAUUCCUAGUAAACGCAAGUCAUCAACUUGCAUUGAUUACGUCCCUGCCCUUUGUACACACCGCCCGUCGCACCUACCGAUUGAAUGGUCCGGUGAAGCCUCCGGAUUGGCGCGCACCUCGGUGCCGCCGAGAAGUUGGCUAAACCUUACCAUUUAGAGGAAGGUGAAGUCGUAACA